AUACGGAGGGGGUUAGCGUUGUUCGGAAUUACUGGGCGUAAAGCGCACGUAGGCGGACUGGAAAGUUGGGGGUGAAAUCCCGGGGCUCAACCCCGGAACUGCCUCCAAAACUUCCAAUCUAGAGAUCGAGAGAGGUGAGUGGAAUUCCAAGUGUAGAGGUGAAAUUCGUAGAUAUUUGGAGGAACACCAGUGGCGAAGGCGGCUCACUGGCUCGAUUCUGACGCUGAGGUACGAAAGUGUGGGGAGCAAACAGGAUUAGAAACCCGUGUAGUCC
This 274-nucleotide ribosomal RNA is filed under the name uncultured bacterium. RNAcentral describes it as "partial 16S ribosomal RNA". It matches the Rfam family "Bacterial small subunit ribosomal RNA", at positions 523 to 796 of the family's 1533-position model. The record is from RNAcentral.